This 668-nucleotide ribosomal RNA is filed under the name Pseudomonas sp. RNAcentral's name for it is "partial 16S ribosomal RNA". It matches the Rfam family "Bacterial small subunit ribosomal RNA", at positions 830 to 1504 of the family's 1533-position model. The record is from RNAcentral. Lineage: Bacteria; Pseudomonadati; Pseudomonadota; Gammaproteobacteria; Pseudomonadales; Pseudomonadaceae.
CCUUGAGCUUUGGCUGCCGGCUUAAGGCGUUACUCUCCCCCCGGGGAGUAACGGCCCCAAAGUAAAAAUCCAAAGGAAUUGACGGGGCCCCCCCAAACGGGGGAAGAUGGGGGUUUAAUUCAAACCACGCGCAAAAACCUUACCUGGCUUUGAUGUCUGAAAAGUUUACAAAAAUGGGUUGGGGCCCUCCGGAACUGUGAACACAGGUGCUGCAUGGCUGUCGUCAGCUCGUGUCGUGAAAGGUUGGGUUAAUCCCCGCAACGAGCGCAACCUUUGCCUUUGGUUGCCACCACUCGUGGGGACUCUCAUGAGACUGCAGGUGAGAAACCGAAAAAAAGUGGGGAUGACAUCAGUGUCAUGGGCCUUUCAACCAUGGGUACACACGUGCUACAAUGGGGGAUACAAAGAGGUGCCAAGCCGGGAGAUGAAACGCACCUCAUAAAACGCAUCUCAGAUCGGAUUGUGCUCUGCAACUCGACUGCAUGAAAUCGGAAUCGCUAGUAAUCUCGAAUCAGAAUGCCGCGGUGAAUACGUUCCCGGGCCUUGUACACACCGCCCGUCACACCAUGGGAGUGGUUUGUACCAGAAGAAGCUAGCUUUAACCGUCGGGAGGACGCUUACCACGAUGGGAUUCUCGACUGGGGUGAAGUCGUAACAAGGUAACCGUA